This 292-nucleotide ribosomal RNA is filed under the name uncultured bacterium. RNAcentral describes it as "partial 16S ribosomal RNA". It matches the Rfam family "Bacterial small subunit ribosomal RNA", at positions 505 to 796 of the family's 1533-position model. The record is from RNAcentral.
GUGUCAGCAGCCGCGGUAAUACAGAGGCCACAAGCGUUAGACGGAAUCACUGGGCUUAAAGCGUGUGUAGGCGGGAUGGUAAGUACCUUGUGAAAUCCCACAGCUUAACUGUGGAAAUGCUUGGUAUACUGCCGUUCUUGAGUCACCUAGGGGCAGCUGGAACAGAUGGUGGAGCGGUGAAAUGCAUAGAUAUCAUCUGGAACGCCAAUGGUGCAGACAAGCUGCUGGGGGUGUACUGACGCUGAGGCACGAAAGCCAGGGGAGCAAACGGGAUUAGAAACCCCUGUAGUCC